Molecule: ribosomal RNA, 547 nt
Filed under: uncultured bacterium
Lineage: Bacteria
Description: partial 16S ribosomal RNA
Rfam family: Bacterial small subunit ribosomal RNA
Source: RNAcentral
UGGGGAAUAUUGCACAAUGGGCGCAAGCCUGAUGCAGCCAUGCCGCGUGUGUGAAGAAGGCCUUCGGGUUGUAAAGCACUUUCAGCGAGGAGGAAGGUGGUGAGCUUAAUACGCUCAUCAAUUGACGUUACUCGCAGAAGAAGCACCGGCUAACUCCGUGCCAGCAGCCGCGGUAAUACGGAGGGUGCAAGCGUUAAUCGGAAUUACUGGGCGUAAAGCGCACGCAGGCGGUUUGUUAAGUCAGAUGUGAAAUCCCCGGGCUCAACCUGGGAACUGCAUUUGAAACUGGCAAGCUAGAGUCUCGUAGAGGGGGGUAGAAUUCCAGGUGUAGCGGUGAAAUGCGUAGAGAUCUGGAGGAAUACCGGUGGCGAAGGCGGCCCCCCUGGACGAAGACUGACGCUCAGGUGCGAAAAGCGUGGGGAGCAAAACAGGAUUAGAUACCCUGGUAGCCCAACGCUGUAAAACGAUGUCGAUUUGGAGGUUGUGCCCUUGAGGCGUGGCUUCCGGAGCUAACGCGUUAAAUCGACCGCCUGGGGAGUACGGCCGC